GACGAACGCUGGCGGCGUGCUUAACACAUGCAAGUCGAACGGAAAGGCCCUGCUUUUGUGGGGUGCUCGAGUGGCGAACGGGUGAGUAACACGUGAGUAACCUGCCCUUGACUUUGGGAUAACUUCAGGAAACUGGGGCUAAUACCGGAUAGGAGCUCCUGCUGCAUGGUGGGGGUUGGAAAGUUUCGGCGGUUGGGGAUGGACUCGCGGCUUAUCAGCUUGUUGGUGGGGUAGUGGCUUACCAAGGCUUUGACGGGUAGCCGGCCUGAGAAGGGGACCGGCCACAUUGGGACUGAGAUACGGCCCAGACUCCUACGGGAGGCAGCAGUGGGGAAUAUUGCACAAUGGGCGGAAGCCUGAUGCAGCAACGCCGCGUGCGGGAUGACGGCCUUCGGGUUGUAAACCGCUUUCGCCUGUGACGAAGCGUGAGUGACGGUAAUGGGUAAAGAAGCACCGGCUAACUACGUG
This 468-nucleotide ribosomal RNA is filed under the name uncultured bacterium. RNAcentral's name for it is "partial 16S ribosomal RNA". It matches the Rfam family "Bacterial small subunit ribosomal RNA", at positions 28 to 507 of the family's 1533-position model. The record is from RNAcentral.